Molecule: long non-coding RNA, 784 nt
Organism: Mizuhopecten yessoensis (Yesso scallop)
Lineage: Eukaryota; Metazoa; Mollusca; Bivalvia; Pectinida; Pectinidae
Exons: 4
Source: RefSeq, a predicted model, not a curated record
CUAGACUGGGAUUGAACCCUAGACUGGGAUUGGAACCCUAGACUGGGAUUGUUACCCUAGACUGGGAUUGGAACCCUAGACUGGGAAGUGUUAUGCUAUGGUUUUAUCUGAUUGAGCUAGCAGCUCAACGAAAGUGGCCUGGCCAAGCUGUAUGUGGCAGGGUUAAAAUCUUAAGAGUGUAUAUAGUAAGUUUUAAUUCUAAGUGUUGUAUUAUUUUAUUAGCAUCAAUUAGCAUCAUCAUCAGUGCAUCAUUUUACCUUUCACCAAGCACAAUGUGUUGUCCAAGUAUUGUCCAUGUAUAUGUCAUUGUGUGUGUAUUUACCUGUAGCUAGAGUGAUCUGAAAGGUGAGCGUGUGUGAGUGGUGGUGAGCCCACUUUACCUGUAUAGGUAUAAGUGGAACCUUCUAAUUGGUCACCUGACAUAAGAUGAUGAUACCAUUGGUUGAGAUAAUGAACUAAACAUAUCUUGGAGAAGCCACUUGGGCCUACUAUUCUACUACGUUUUGCUGAACCUGGACAUAGCUUCAUACUCCUGACCCUGGGUCGACUGAAUAUUGAUUACAUUCCGGAAGAGUCUAGGAAUUCGGCCCAUAGCCAGAAUUCAGGAUAUACAUGUAAAAGAUGAAACGGACAGAUAUUGAUUCAUGGAAUUUGAUGAUAUAAGUGCAAGAAUAAACAUGAACUGAUUUGUACAGUCUUUGUAUCCAUUGGAUAAGAGCGACGACCUUGCCGUCUUUCCAGUCGACCCUACUGUAGUUGGUUGCAAGCCACCUAGGGGAGGUGU